GCGGGCGUAGCUCAGUGGUAGAGCACAACCUUGCCAAGGUUGGGGUCGUGGGUUCGAAUCCCAUCGCCCGCU
This is a transfer RNA of Aureimonas sp., 72 nucleotides long. It matches the Rfam family "tRNA". From Rfam's summary of the family: Transfer RNA (tRNA) molecules are approximately 80 nucleotides in length. Their secondary structure includes four short double-helical elements and three loops (D, anti-codon, and T loops). Further hydrogen bonds mediate the characteristic L-shaped molecular structure. tRNAs have two regions of fundamental functional importance: the anti-codon, which is responsible for specific mRNA codon recognition, and the 3' end, to which the tRNAs corresponding amino acid is attached (by aminoacyl-tRNA synthetases). tRNAs cope with the degeneracy of the genetic code in two manners: having more than one tRNA (with a specific anti-codon) for a particular amino acid; and 'wobble' base-pairing, i.e. permitting non-standard base-pairing at the 3rd anti-codon position. The record is from Rfam. Lineage: Bacteria; Pseudomonadati; Pseudomonadota; Alphaproteobacteria; Hyphomicrobiales; Aurantimonadaceae.